This 760-nucleotide long non-coding RNA is filed under the name Rattus norvegicus (Norway rat). RNAcentral's name for it is "long non-coding RNA NONRATT018250". The record is from RNAcentral. Lineage: Eukaryota; Metazoa; Chordata; Mammalia; Rodentia; Muridae.
GGAAGGAGAAGGGCCCAAGGGCGAGGGCGGGGGACGUAAAAAUAAAAGAAAAAGGAACAGUGAAGGCUUGCUGCCUCCUCGGAGCCCCUAAAAAUCUGGCCCAGCGACUUUUCAGCUCUGGGCUUGAACCUGGUUUGGGCCACGGUGACAGCAGAGUGACCUCAAAGCGCAGGCACAACCACUGGAGACAGCCAGUGCAACAAGACAAGCCGCUGGACCCGACCAGACUCUCAGCUUUGUGAGACUAUCAGGAAAAAAAAAUUACGUAGGAGGGGGAAAUAUGCUCUUUUUUCGGUUCUGUCCGUCUUUGUCUCCUUUUUGCACCGUCUGUGCGCCGAAGUCAAGGUCCUCGUGUGUCUGCUGUCCUCUCCAAAAAGUCACCAGAUCUGAGCCACACUGGUCUGCCGGCAGCCCAUCACGAACCCUGGAACGCUUUUUUUCUGAAUGGUCUUCUUCCGGGCCCUGCUUCACCAUCUGUGUAGCUUGUUUGGGCAAUGGGGGGAAUCGGAGGGAGGGGGGUUAAUUUAUUGAAAAACAGACGCUGAGUGUUGGCCAAUUCCAAGUUCUCUGAGACAUGGAGUGGGCACUGUCCAAACACACUAUUUACCUUAAACACACCAGAAGAGGGAACAAGGAUGGGAUGGUGGCUUUUUAAGGUACCUGGUAACUUUUGUACUUUGUUGGAAUGGAGAAGUGGAGGCAGAGUGAUUUGCAUUUUACACGACCCACAUGAUUAAAAAAUAACAAAAGAAAUAGUGAA